GAUGAACGCUGGCGGCGUGCCUAAUACAUGCAAGUCGAGCGAACAGACGAGGAGCUUGCUCCUCUGACGUUAGCGGCGGACGGGUGAGUAACACGUGGAUAACCUACCUAUAAGACUGGGAUAACUUCGGGAAACCGGCGCUAAUACCGGAUAAUAUAUUGCACCGCAUGGUUCAAUAGUGAAAGACGGCUUUGCUGUCACUUAUAGAUGGAUCCGCGCCGCAUUAGCUAGUUGGUAAGGUAACGGCUUACCAAGGCAACGAUGCGUAGCCGACCUGAGAGGGUGAUCGGCCACACUGGAACUGGGACGCGGUCCAGACGCCUGAGGGAGGCAGCAGUAGGGAAUCUUCCGCAAUGGGCGAAAACCUGACGGAGCAACGGCGCGUGAGUGAUGAAAGUCUUCGGAUCGUGAAACUCUGUUAUUAGGGAAGAACAAAUGUGUAAGUAACUAUGCACGUCGUGACGGUACCUGAUCAGAAAGCCACGGCUAACUACGUG
This 497-nucleotide ribosomal RNA is filed under the name uncultured bacterium. RNAcentral describes it as "partial 16S ribosomal RNA". It matches the Rfam family "Bacterial small subunit ribosomal RNA", at positions 28 to 507 of the family's 1533-position model. The record is from RNAcentral.